This is a long non-coding RNA of Mytilus trossulus (common blue mussel), 667 nucleotides long. RefSeq lists it as uncharacterized. The transcript is spliced from 3 exons. NCBI's taxonomy places the organism in Eukaryota, Metazoa, Mollusca, Bivalvia, Mytilida, Mytilidae. The record is from RefSeq and is a predicted model, not a curated record.
UUGCCUUUUAUAGUUUAAGAAAUAGCACCUCACUUAACACAAACUCGAUGAAACACAAGUCAAGCAGAUUUACGAACUAUUUUCCAUACUCAGUGGUGGAUCCAUAAAUUUUGAUCAAAAAGCGGGUGAAAAGGGGUGCAUAUUGCAUGACUAUUUGCCUUCUUCAAGGAGUAGAUCAGUUAAAAUUUCCAGACAAAUCCCAAGACUACUAUAUUUGAUCUGUGUUAAUAUAAUAAAAAUGAAGUUAAAGUCUGUUUGAUUUAUUCAUAGAUUAGGGAUACAACAAGUCUGCAAGUCACUAGAUAUAAAUGGACAGAGAAAAUUAUUGAGGAGAUCAUUGGGGGGACAAACUAAACAAAGGAAAUGUACUUUACUUUAACAUGUUUAAGGAGGAGAAGUGAAAGAAGCAGGGAAAAUUGGCGGGUGUAACAUCUAUUAGCAAUAAAAAGAGGAGAUAAAGCAGUUAAUCAUUAUGACUGUGAAAAGAAGAUUUUAUCUGAAUAUGAAAAGAGUUUAUUUCAGUUAAAAAGACUUGCUACAAAAUGUUCCUCUUGUAAUUUUAUUGAAGACCAGACCAUUGUCAACUUUAAGUAAAGGAAGAUAAUAAAACAUUGAAGAGGAAAUGAAGGAAAAGACUUAAUCAUCAAAGAGCAUAACAAAGCAUAAU